Molecule: non-coding RNA, 86 nt
Organism: Triticum urartu
Lineage: Eukaryota; Viridiplantae; Streptophyta; Magnoliopsida; Poales; Poaceae
Source: Rfam
CCGACCUUAGCUCAGUUGGUAGAGCGGAGGACUGUAGUAUUUGCAGAUCAAUCCUUAGGUCACUGGUUCGAAUCCGGUAGGUCGGA